This 553-nucleotide long non-coding RNA is filed under the name Coffea arabica (coffee). RNAcentral's name for it is "long non-coding RNA (CARA_LNC004379)". The record is from RNAcentral. Lineage: Eukaryota; Viridiplantae; Streptophyta; Magnoliopsida; Gentianales; Rubiaceae.
UUUCUACUAAGUUUCGUACAAAAACUCUCACGGUAAGGUAGUCAUUAAAACAACCAAAGUUUAUGAAGAGUUUCAAGGCUAAACUACCUUCUCACUUUUCUUUCGUUUACAAACUUUUUGUACCAUGAAAUCAGUUUCAAAUCUCUCCAUUAUUGAAACCAAGAGUUCAUAAACAUCCACUGAGAAAUUUAAAGACCAUUGACAUCCAAAUUCUAGAAAUAAAACUCUCCAAAUCAGAUUUGACCAUUUGGCUAAGAGAAAACGAAAAGUUUUCCAGAUUCGAUGAGCGAAUUUUGUGACAUCAUUUGCAUAUCAAAAUGGUCUUAGAAUAUUACCAAAUUUUGUACAAUUAAACCUCCAUAUGAGGAUUACUCUUCUAUCAAAUUUCAUUUGAAAAUUCACACGGGAAGGUAGUUAACUAAACCAUCAAAGUUCAGGAAAUUUCCCAAGGUAAAACUGUCUUCUAGCUCUUCUUUCCUUUUUAAACAUUUUGUCCAAAGCAACCAACCCAAAUCUGGUUUAUUUGUGAAACAAAGUCCAAGGAACAUCUAAU